Molecule: ribosomal RNA, 556 nt
Filed under: Escherichia coli
Lineage: Bacteria; Pseudomonadati; Pseudomonadota; Gammaproteobacteria; Enterobacterales; Enterobacteriaceae
Description: bacterial SSU rRNA
Rfam family: Bacterial small subunit ribosomal RNA
Source: RNAcentral
UUUAUGGAGAGUUUGAUCCUGGCUCAGGAUGAACGCUGGCGGCGUGCCUAAUACAUGCAAGUCGAGCGAACAGAUAAGGAGCUUGCUCCUUUGACGUUAGCGGCGGACGGGUGAGUAACACGUGGAUAACCUACCUAUAAGACUGGGAUAACUUCGGGAAACCGGAGCUAAUACCGGAUAACAUAUUGAACCGCAUGGUUCAAUAGUGAAAGGCGGCUUUGCUGUCACUUAUAGAUGGAUCCGCGCCGUAUUAGCUAGUUGGUAAGGUAACGGCUUACCAAGGCAACGAUACGUAGCCGACCUGAGAGGGUGAUCGGCCACACUGGAACUGAGACACGGUCCAGACUCCUACGGGAGGCAGCAGUAGGGAAUCUUCCGCAAUGGGCGAAAGCCUGACGGAGCAACGCCGCGUGAGUGAUGAAGGUUUUCGGAUCGUAAAACUCUGUUAUCAGGGAAGAACAAAUGUGUAAGUAACUGUGCACAUCUUGACGGUACCUGAUCAGAAAGCCACGGCUAACUACGUGCCAGCAGCCGCGGUAAUACGUAGGUGGCAAGC